GAUCCUGGCUCAGAUUGAACGCUGGCGGCAGGCUUAACACAUGCAAGUCGAACGGUAACUGGAAGCAGCUUGCUGCUUCGCUGACGAGUGGCGGACGGGUGAGUAAUGUCUGGGAAACUGCCUGAUGGAGGGGGAUAACUACUGGAAACGGUAGCUAAUACCGCAUAACGUCGCAAGACCAAAGAGGGGGGACCUUCGGGCCUCUUGCCAUCGGAUGUGCCCAGAUGGGAUUAGCUAGG
This 239-nucleotide ribosomal RNA is filed under the name uncultured bacterium. RNAcentral describes it as "partial 16S ribosomal RNA". It matches the Rfam family "Bacterial small subunit ribosomal RNA", at positions 15 to 249 of the family's 1533-position model. The record is from RNAcentral.